GUUCAUGUAGCUUAAUAUAUAAAGCAAAGCACUGAAAAUGCUUACAUGGAUUUUUAAUCCCAUAAACA
This 68-nucleotide transfer RNA is filed under the name Mesocricetus auratus (golden hamster). It matches the Rfam family "tRNA". From Rfam's summary of the family: Transfer RNA (tRNA) molecules are approximately 80 nucleotides in length. Lineage: Eukaryota; Metazoa; Chordata; Mammalia; Rodentia; Cricetidae. The record is from Rfam by way of RNAcentral.